This is a long non-coding RNA of Tupaia belangeri chinensis (Chinese tree shrew), 219 nucleotides long. RefSeq lists it as uncharacterized. NCBI's taxonomy places the organism in Eukaryota, Metazoa, Chordata, Mammalia, Scandentia, Tupaiidae. The transcript has 2 exons. The record is from RefSeq and is a predicted model, not a curated record.
CACAUAUGCCCAGCAUGAGUUUCAAGCCCCCAGGUCUGGGACUCCAAUCACAGUCAACUAUUUUGGAGGCCAGCACCUUAACCACCGGCGUUUCAUCCUGAGCUGCGCUAAUUGGGUCUGCUCUUCCUUCUCUGGUGUCUUAGAGGCUGAGUAUCCUGUCCUGGAGUUGGCUGCAAUACCAAGACGAACCACACGAAGGCACCAGAGCCACACAGGUGA